GUGAAAUGAUGAUGAAGUUUAUCCAUUCUCUGAGUGUGCUGCUCUACCCUUCCUGCUGCUCUCAGUUCCUGUUCUAGGAACUGGGUUAUGUGACCUCCAGAUGCCCUCCAGGCUUGCAGUGUUCUACUGUACCUGGCAGGGGUGUUUGGUGGCCAUACUGGUAGGAAGGGAUGGUGUCAGCAGAGAUGGAACCUUUACUAUUUAAGGUUCCAUCUUGCCAAGACGAAUGACUGGUAUCUGAUCAC
Sarcophilus harrisii (Tasmanian devil) is the source of this 245-nucleotide small nucleolar RNA. NCBI's taxonomy places the organism in Eukaryota, Metazoa, Chordata, Mammalia, Dasyuromorphia, Dasyuridae. The record is from Ensembl.